RNAcentral lists this ribosomal RNA (334 nucleotides) under uncultured eukaryote. RNAcentral's name for it is "partial 18S ribosomal RNA". It matches the Rfam family "Eukaryotic small subunit ribosomal RNA", at positions 1470 to 1796 of the family's 1831-position model. The record is from RNAcentral.
CCCAUAGAUGUCCGGGGCCGCACGCGCGCUACACUGAAGGAAUCAGCGUGGCUUUCUCCCUGACCCGAAAGGGUUGGGAAACCCGUUGAAUCUCCUUCGUGAUAGGGAUUGGGGCUUGAAAUUGUUCCCCAUGAACGAGGAAUUCCCAGUAAGCGCGAGUCAUAAGCUCGCGUUGAUUACGUCCCUGCCCUUUGUACACACCGCCCGUCGCUACUACCGAUUGAACGGUUUAGUGAGGGCCUCGGAUUGGUCUCGGCCCGCUCUUUACCGGGCGGCGCCGUUGGUCGAGAAGACGCUCGAACUUGAUCGUUUAGAGGAAGUAAAAGUCGUAACA